GACGAACGCUGGCGGCGUGCUUAACACAUGCCAGUCGAACGGAAAGGCCCUGCUUUUGUGGGGUUCUCGAGUGGCGAACGGGUGAGUAACACGUGAGUAACCUGCCCUUGACUUUGGGAUAACUUCAGGAAACUGGGGCUAAUACCGGAUAGGAGCUCCUGCUGCAUGGUGGGGGUUGGAAAGUUUCGGCGGUUGGGGAUGGACUCGCGGCUUAUCAGCUUGUUGGUGGGGUAGUGGCUUACCAAGGCUUUGACGGGUAGCCGGCCUGAGAGGGUGACCGGCCACAUUGGGACUGAGAUACGGCCCAGACUCCUACGGGAGGCAGCAGUGGGGAAUAUUGCACAAUGGGCGGAAGCCUGAUGCAGCAACGCCGCGUGCGGGAUGACGGCCUUCGGGUUGUAAACCGCUUUCGCCUGUGACGAAGCGUGAGUGACGGUAAUGGGUAAAGAAGCACCGGCUAACUACGUG
This 468-nucleotide ribosomal RNA is filed under the name uncultured bacterium. RNAcentral describes it as "partial 16S ribosomal RNA". It matches the Rfam family "Bacterial small subunit ribosomal RNA", at positions 28 to 507 of the family's 1533-position model. The record is from RNAcentral.